Long non-coding RNA from Anopheles merus, 233 nucleotides. RefSeq lists it as uncharacterized. Lineage: Eukaryota; Metazoa; Arthropoda; Insecta; Diptera; Culicidae. The record is from RefSeq and is a predicted model, not a curated record. The transcript is spliced from 2 exons.
AAUACAUAUACAGACGCACACACACAGCCUCAUCUGGAGCAAAUGAAAACCCACAAGCGAAAGACUGGAUGGUUGCUUUGAUGAAGCCGCUUCAAUGAAAGCCACUGAAACUGGAAUUGGAACUAGAUGUUUGCCUCACCUUCCAUUCAAACAUUUUCUUAUCAAAAAAAAAAACCACACACACACACACACACACACACACACACACACACACACACACACACACACACACA